This 72-nucleotide transfer RNA is filed under the name Fusarium oxysporum f. sp. vasinfectum. RNAcentral's name for it is "tRNA-Thr". Lineage: Eukaryota; Fungi; Ascomycota; Sordariomycetes; Hypocreales; Nectriaceae. RNAcentral also lists the same sequence under 5 other names. The record is from RNAcentral.
UGCCCCGUACUGGAAUCGAACCAGUGAUCUUAUCAUUACUAGUGAUACGCUUUACCACUGAGCCAACGGGGC